RNAcentral lists this ribosomal RNA (466 nucleotides) under uncultured bacterium. RNAcentral's name for it is "partial 16S ribosomal RNA". It matches the Rfam family "Bacterial small subunit ribosomal RNA", at positions 28 to 507 of the family's 1533-position model. The record is from RNAcentral.
GAUGAACGCUGGCGGCGUGCUUAGCACAUGCAAGUCGAACGAUGAAGCCCAGCUUGCUGGGUGGAUUAGUGGCGAACGGGUGAGUAACACGUGAGUAACCUGCCCUUAACUCUGGGAUAAGCCUGGGAAACUGGGUCUAAUACCGGAUAGGAGCGUCCACCGCAUGGUGGGUGUUGGAAAGAUUUAUCGGUUUUGGAUGGACUCGCGGCCUAUCAGCUUGUUGGUGAGGUAAUGGCUCACCAAGGCGACGACGGAUAGCCGGCCUGAGAGGGUGACCGGCCACACUGGGACUGAGACACGGCCCAGACUCCUACGGGAGGCAGCAGUGGGGAAUAUUGCACAAUGGGCGCAAGCCUGAUGCAGCGACGCCGCGUGAGGGAUGACGGCCUUCGGGUUGUAAACCUCUUUCAGUAGGGAAGAAGCGAAAGUGACGGUACCUGCAGAAGAAGCACCGGCUAACUACGUG